GAUGAAGAACGUAGCGAAAUGCGAUAAGUAAUGUGAAUUGCAGAAUUCAGUGAAUCAUCGAAUCUUUGAACGCACAUUGCGCCCGCCAGUAUUCUGGCGAGCAUGCCUGUUCGAGCGUCAUUUCAACCAUCAAGCCCCAGGCUUGUGUUGGAGCCCUGCGGCUGCCGCAGCCUCCCAAAACCAGUGGCGGGCUCGCUAUCACACCGAGUGCAGUAGUUUACUCUUCGCUCAGGGCGUGUGGCGGGUGCUAGCCGUGGAACCCCCAACUUCUCAAGGUUGACCUCGGAUCAGGUAGGAAUACCCGCUGAACUUAAGCAUAUCAAUAAGCGGAGGA
RNAcentral lists this unclassified non-coding RNA (334 nucleotides) under soil metagenome. Its description in RNAcentral is "partial contains 5.8S ribosomal RNA, internal transcribed spacer 2, and large subunit ribosomal RNA". The stretch from base 1 to 120 matches the Rfam family "5.8S ribosomal RNA", at positions 35 to 154 of the family's 154-position model. The record is from RNAcentral.